This is a non-coding RNA of Xyrichtys novacula (pearly razorfish), 216 nucleotides long. The record is from the annotation of a GenBank genome assembly. NCBI's taxonomy places the organism in Eukaryota, Metazoa, Chordata, Actinopteri, Labriformes, Labridae.
UCCCUGAGCAUUAUUUGUGGCUAUAGAGUGGCGUUUUGGUUGAGGUUUGUUUAUGGCUCCUCAGACCGCUGUGUAUUUCUAUCCUGCGGUCGUUACUAAAGUUGGUAUAACUAGAGAAGCAAGCGGUCGACAACAUUCAUCUCUGGAGGGGGGGUCUAACUCGGUGUUACGGUGUCUUUGACCCUAAAUUAAUUUUACGCCGAGAUAUCCCUUUAA